RNA transcript from Corticium candelabrum, 1972 nucleotides. It is a transcript of the gene named nucleoporin NDC1-like, with no coding region annotated. The record is from RefSeq and is a predicted model, not a curated record. The transcript has 21 exons. NCBI's taxonomy places the organism in Eukaryota, Metazoa, Porifera, Homoscleromorpha, Homosclerophorida, Plakinidae.
UUAGUCAUAAAGAGUUUAGUAUGGCGGCAAACGAGCUCUUUCGUUGGAGAGUUGGUGCAAGUUGUUUUUGGCAUUGUCUCAUCGGCCCUCUGUUGUCGCUACUUUUCACUGCAAUGUGCUGCUUGCGUCCAUCUACAGCACUAACCUCAGUAUCAGAUUGGUGGUCGAAUGUAGUGUCAUUGCGAUUCUGGUUCUUCUGCGCUGCUUCGUCAUUGCUCUCUUCUCUGUGUACGGCGUGGUUCGCGUUUGCUACUACAGUGGAAUUGGAAGUGUCCAAGACCAGAGCUAAACUGUAUUUCAAACCGUUUGCAACUCGGUUUUGGGUCUUGAUUGGAAUUCACUGCUUGACUGGCACAGUUACUGGUCUUCUUUCUGAAAGUCUUCAUAAUAAUUUGAGUUAUGCAGUCUUUAUGAGCAUUAAGAGUCAUGAUAGCUUGGAAGAUGCACACAACAUUGGUGUGAUAUGGAAUCAAAGGAUCAGUGGAGCUCUUGGGUGUUGGCUUGGUUUAUAUGCUGCUACAAAGAGCAUCUGGGAAGGAAAGCAUUGUAUUAGAUUUCCUUUACUUCAGCAGCAUCGUCUGUACAGAGCAAAGAAUAAUCUGAGACAUGUAUUUAGUAGUAGUAGUAAAACAGCUUUCCAGGCUAUUGGAUGGUUUUAUGCUGUGAAUAUCAUUGGAAACUUGAUGUUUCUUGAUGUUUUCUUUGGCUGGAAGGAGCUCAUGAAUGUCUCUGUUCUUUGCCAUGGCAUUGUUUUGUCUCUCUUUUUGGGACUGUACUGGAAUAUUGGGAAAUUGCUUUUCAUGGUGUUUUUGACACAGCCUGUUGUAUUUCCAGUAGCAGAAGACUGCAGUCAGCACUGUCUUACUGAAGCCUUAAAGGCAGCUGAUUCACCAAUUGUAAAGCACCUAGCGUAUCUUGAUCUAGUCAGUGUUGCAAACUCCUAUUCAAGGCGGCAAACAGUCUUCAGCGUGAGCCAACCAGGUGGCCAGCCAAAAGUAUGGCAAUCUGUCUCUAAGGAGUGUACAAAACUGUUGAAUGAUUUAACGGUUCAGUUGGGAGUAAAACUUCCUGAGGAGCCAAGUCUUUCACAGCCACAAACUCAAUCUCUACUAGUUGGUCGUUGCCAAAGGGAUUGGAAUGAUAUGCCUUUGCCCAGUGUGCCUGGGCUGUUGAUGUAUAGAAGGAAUCUCGGGCAUCAUGACACUGAGCUUUGGUCUGCUUCUACUGUAUCCCAUGGCCUUUCAGGAAUGGGAAGACAACAAGCUUCACACCAACUUACCAAUAUUUCUAACCGAGCAAGUCAAAGACAUGUUUAUGUUAACAAGCUGCUGGCAUUCAAGAAUGUUGCAAGAAGUGUAGUUGAAAGACUGAUGAAGAAUGCAGCAAUUUCUUAUCUCUUCACUGAACUUCCAAAUGUUGAGCCAAACACUCAUCUUGCUAAUUGCCAGUGUCAAUUAUGGGCUGUUGAAGAAAAUUCCACAAUAUCUUCACUUUGUUGUUUACUUGGACUUUCUCUGGAGCAAGAUCAUGCCAUCAUCAUCAUUGUCAUCAUCAAAUAUUGUUCUAUAUUCAUCUACCACCUCUUGUAAUGAGUUACCAGUAUGAUGAAUUUUGGAAAGAUUAGAAGAAACAGCAUGACAGACUUUCUUGAAAAUAGGACAAACUGUAGACUCGGCAACUCCAAAAAGGUGGCCAAUACUCUCGUAUUCAGCACAGGUAGCUAAAUACGACAGUGUAAUCCUGACAUGCUGAUUAACAGGCAAUCUUUGUCACUGAAUGUAUUUUGAACAUUAUCUGUCCACCAAAGCGAAUUUCUUUUCUUCUGCCUCACAAUUCUGGCAAUGUGUCAGAAACAACACUGUGUGGGUUGGUUAUUGCGUCAUGCAAGGAAGACAAGUAUGGAGUAGUGCAGAUGGAAUUAUCUAAUAUAAUUACUUGUCUACUGUCUCUAUUAAAGGCAGUAGAUCUAUAC